RNAcentral lists this ribosomal RNA (232 nucleotides) under Vibrio sp. OG04. Its description in RNAcentral is "partial 16S ribosomal RNA". It matches the Rfam family "Bacterial small subunit ribosomal RNA", at positions 509 to 741 of the family's 1533-position model. Lineage: Bacteria; Pseudomonadati; Pseudomonadota; Gammaproteobacteria; Vibrionales; Vibrionaceae. The record is from RNAcentral.
UAGCAGCCCGGUAAUACGGAGGGUGCGAGCGUUAAUCGGAAUUACUGGGCGUAAAGCGCAUGCAGGUGGUUUGUUAAGUCAGAUGUGAAAGCCCGGGGCUCAACCUCGGAAUAGCAUUUGAAACUGGCAGACUANAGUACUGUAGAGGGGGGUAGAAUUUCAGGUGUAGCGGUGAAAUGCGUAGAGAUCUGAAGGAAUACCGGUGGCGAAGGCGGCCCCCUGGACAGAUACU